UUUGUUGGAUUCUCUCGCCGACUUAAGAUCUGGGUGCAGUUUAUUGUGGGCUCCUUGGUGUGGCGUUUGCGGCGGCGCUUGUGGAUGGAGAGUGACCUCGUGGCGUCCUUCUGAAGGUCCGAGGACCCCACAUUCCGAGUUCUCUCACAACCCGAAUCACCCACAACCCGAAUUACCCACAACCCGAAUUCUCUUCAACCCGGCUUACAUUAAACUGCUCCUGGAAGCGGGGCAACCGACGGCGAGACGACUGUUAAGUUUUUUUUAGUUAGCCAAUUCUCGAGCCACUUGUUCAGGAAUUAGGCAAAUUAUGUACUUUAUUUAUUUUAUUCUCCCCGGAGUAACUUUAGAUUAUAUUCAAAAUAAAUUGUUAAACUUGUUAUUUUUUUAUUUCUCUUCAUCCAUAAUUAAUUUAAGAUUCUGUAGGAUUAUUUUUUUACUCUCUCUCUUGUAGUCGCGUGUUAGGAAUUGUGGGUGACUCUCUAACCCAACAAACAAUUCGUUAACACGUAGCAAU
Molecule: unclassified non-coding RNA, 517 nt
Filed under: Melitaea cinxia (Glanville fritillary)
Lineage: Eukaryota; Metazoa; Arthropoda; Insecta; Lepidoptera; Nymphalidae
Description: misc RNA ENSMCXG00005003736.1
Source: RNAcentral